GUCUCCAGAUGCGUGUCUACUGCUGAGUUGCAGGGGAAACCAGCAAGCAUGGUGAUCCGUGCCCCUGCCCACCUCUCCUCUAAGACCUGGCACUGCCCAUCCACCUGGACGACUUCCUGCUUUUCAGAUAUCAGAAUGCAGGUGUGCCUGUGGAGUGGUACAACUGCAUCCUUUUCUCUCAGCACAACCCGAGUGGACAUCGACACGUUCAGAUUUAGCAGAGAUUCUUUUUUUCGCCAGUUCUUUCUACCCAUUAAAUGUGUUGCAGUAUCGGGAUUUGCCUGUGUGAGUGGCUUUAAAAGGAGGAAACCAGAGGACAAGAGCAGUUGCAUAUUGACGGUGUCAUGGAUGCCCUCUAACUUUAUCCAGUAGAGCUGUGGCAAGGAUGAAGAGAGUGAGCAUGUGUAAAGGGCUGCUGGUUGUGCACUCCGUGAACCUCUGCGCUUAUGGAAAGAAGAGACAUUUUGCUGGAAGGUUUGGGCUUCCAACUUUCCUGCUGACCGAGCUUGAACUGCUAGAAGGGGAAAAACAAACAGAGAUUCCACCUGCACCACGAGCCGGCCCCAGAGUAAACAUUCCACACACAUCGGCUGGGUUAUCUCCAGAAUGAUCCUGCAUGGCUGGUGCUGUUAUUAUCUCCAUGUUACAGGACUCAAAGAACUGGUCAGGGCUUAGCAGCCCCGGGACAACCUUGCCUGGAUGGAAGAUUUCACCUUUGGCGGAAAGGAGGCAAACUCAGCCAUGCUCUCAAGCAAAUUCCAACUGGGAUGCAGGUUUUCUUUCUCUUUUCCUGUUCCCCCUCUAGUUUAGAAGAGCUACUGCAUUGGCUGAUUCCCCAGGUUAGGAUUCCAAGGAAGCAAAAGUAAGAGUUAUUUCUUCAUUGAGCCUCAAGAGCCCUUUCAAUCCACUUGUUGUUGGCCCCAAGCCAAAGCCAGUUACCUUCUGAUGGAAAGAAAUGAUUUCCGUGUUAAUAUGAUUUGUAUCUGGCAAAUCCAUGCAGCCUGCUGAUUAUCAUCAUAUUCCUGGCCUUCCGUUCUUUUCAAAAUGACAGGCUAUUGAUCCAGCCUUCUCCCAGUUUUGAAGUUUAUGGAAAAGGACGUCUCCACGGUACAGUUCAUUCCCACUGGUCCUCGAGCUGCAGGGGAGACAUGUUGACUUUUGAAUUUCAGGUACUUUCCCUGCCCCUUUCAAUGAGGACCAAGCACUAAGAAUCUUCUGAUGCCUACCAGGCACAAUGCUGAGCCCAGAGUUGGCCCUCAGAGCUCGCUGAGCAGAACGGAGCUGGGGGUACCUGUCUCUCCCACCCUCCUCUGAGACUUUGCCCUUUAAAUUCAUCAGUGGCAGCACCGUGGGUUCUCUCCGCAGAGGCAGCGGCAUAGCCGGGCAUCUUCUCUUACCGACACUUUCUCUGUUUGGUGUGCGCUUAACAACCACCUUGAGGCUGGGUGAGAACCAGACUUGUUUUGAGGGACUCUGGGAAGGCAGAGCUGGGCUGUGGCCCUGGGUAUCCUGGCUCCAGGCCCAGUGCUCUUUCCCCUCAUCUUAUCCUCACAUCCCUCUCAGGCACCCUUCCAAGGCAGGCAGCGUAGCCCCACCAGCACUUAGACGGCAUCUUGGCCCUGCCGUUCAGGAGCUGCGGGAUCUUGAGCAGAUGUUAUCUUUCUAAGCCUCAGUUUCUUCAUCUGUUAACUGGAGCUAAGAAUGCCCCAGUCAGCAAUCCUCAGGGCCAUUGCACAAGUUAAAUGAGAUGAUGCCAGUGAAGCUUCUCACACAGAGGUUAUCUCUGAGUUAGGGCCCAAUAGCUGUUUACUGGUGUGACUGGUGAUACUAUUGUUCUUUGGGGGAAACUGUUCUCUUUCUGAGCCAAGACCAAUGGCUCGACCCGUAGGUCUUUCCUCAGCCUUGGUCUGGAUGUGGUCAUCAUUCCUCCAUCCACCUCCCUUUCUUAUUCUCUAAAUGAAAGAACCUGUCCUUUCAGCCAAAAGAAUUUGUAAGUGUUACCUGAGUUUCUAAGAUAUUUAGAAAGCCUCUUUCAAGGAGAAUCCUUAGAGACAGCAUGAAAAGAGAGUCAGGCCAGACAUCUGCCCCAUGAGGAGGAAGCCCGGAUUCUGGCCAACCACCUCUUCCCUCAUCUUCCUUUGUGGAGCAGAAACUUCACUAGAGACUGGAUUGAGCUGGCCCCCUGGUCUGGAUGUGGCCCUGAAACAGCACUGCUCAGCUGCCUCCAUCCCCUCCCCACCCAUCUGGGUACCAUGUCCUGCUGACUCUGUCUCCAUGACUCAUCUGAGUUUCCCUGUCAAACCCAGUGCCACCACCCCAGGCCAUGCUCCUCGUGCAUGGACAAUUAACUAGCCACUACCUAACGAGUCUUCUCGCCUUCAGAUUCUUAAGGAAUCCAGAACUCUGGACCAGACUGGGCUUCCUGGAGCCUGGCACUGUUGGUGUGCCUUCUCAGCAGACUCCCACUUUAUAAAGCAAGCUUCUAAGCCUAGGCCAGGCAGAAUGUGGCCAACCCUGUCCCCCUGUCUCGUGUCACUGUCCUCCAUUAGGGCUGCACACCAUGUCCCGCACUCACGUUUCCCAAACACCCAUCCAAGGUGCUUUGAAAAAAUGAGUGUUCCGAGGCAUGACCCAAAUCUACUGAGACUUACUGCAGGUAGAUCCGGGGAAUCUAUAUUUAUAAAAGUGUUCCAGGGGACCAAAGCCCCAUCAGGGGUGGGAACCACUGUGCACAGGGCUGCCAGGGAGGUCUGUGCUCAGCCCCCACGCUUAUCACGUACUCCCACUUCCACACAUGCCACCCUCUUUGCCCACCAUCCAGGCUCUGCCUGCUAAUUUCUCCCCAUCUUUCAAGGCCCACGUCCAAGAACCUCUCCUCCAGGAAGUUUCUCCAGAUUCCUCCAGCAGAAGUAUGCCUCAUCUCCCAACAUCCUGUCCUCCCUCUCUGCUAUAUUCUAGGCAUUCCUUAAAGUCUGCCUCCACUGCCUCAUCUCCUGGCCCCUGGACAAAAGGAAGAUGUCGCUGUGGCUGGCUGCUCUCCAUCCUUUCCCCAUCCACUUGCAGAUAAUAGUAUUUAUGGAAUAGGAGCCUCUUAAGGAUUCAUGAGCUAUCCAUCUAGAGGACUUCGAAUUGUGCCAAGAGAUGUUAGCUCUCAGAAUCCUCACGGCCGUCAUGGCAUCUUCAUUCAGGUUUUUGGGGUUAUUUGUGUGCCCGCAUUUUCUCCCUCGAGUUCCUGUUGACAGCAAGACUGUGUCCUGUUCCUCUUCCCACCCACUGCGACACUUGACACCAUACAGCUUUGGCAUGUAUACAGGACAUGUCAUAGUACUGGCUGGAUGGUGACAUGCUCUGAUACGGUUAACCGCUCCCCCUGUACCCCUCUCUUCUCUCCCCACCUGGCCCUACCACUGCAGUUUGCCCUCAAAGAACUUAGCACUCUUAGAGUUUGUAAUUAUGUCUUUACUUUUUGCAAUUAUUUGAUUAUCAUCUGAUAUUUUCACCAAGUUCUAAGUUCCCUGAAGGCAGGGAUUUUAAAGUCAUUAAUUAGCCACCCCUAAUUAAUCUAAAAUUGAUUCAUUAACCUACCAAUGGACUUUUUUUUUUUGGUUCUCCUAAUUAUACUAAUAUAAUAGAGGGGGUUCUGAAUAGUAGAGCAAUUAUGGUAAACGAGUUCUACGAGUAGCUAGAACUAUAUUCAGUGACCAUAUCAGAGUCUAGAUCAAUCAGAGCAUAGUUAAUUGGGUUAUUGACGGAGGUACAAGGUAGGCUUCAGUGUGGGCUCUGCAGUCAGGUGGGCUAGUUUGGGACAAUCUCACUUGUUACCUGUGUGACUAUAAACAAGGCCGUGACUCUACGCUUCUCAUCCGUAAAAUGGAGAUAAGAGUAGAUGGACCUCAUAGGAUCACUGGGCAUGUGAAAUGCUUACUCAGGAAGUUAGUUAUUAUGACGAUAAUACUGCUGACUUCCAAAUAACAUCAAACGAACCUAAUUAAAUGUUUAUGGGUAAGAUCAUGGGCUUCCAUUUUCUUAUCUGUGGGGAUAGUUUUUAUAAUAAAAAUGAUGAGCUGUUUACAAGGGAACAAUAAUGAUGGAGAUUUAGGGCCCAUCCAAGUACAUCCCAACCCCUGACCAGAAAUAUACUCACUUUAUAGAAAAUAAAGUCAUCACAGGUUUUACUUCCUCAAGGAAAGUUUAAGCAGAUUUAAAUUUUUCCUCAUAGAAAAACUAAAAUGAGUGAUUUGGGAACCAGGACAAAGAAAAAAAAGGGAAGGUCUCCAUUCAACCCCAUUCACCUGCUCUUCCAGCUGUAGGGCACUUGCCCUCCUGGAACUUUGAUGACAAACACAGAAUAUCACUGUGACCUUAAUAAAAUCUAGAGCCCUGCACUGUUUACGCACAAGGUCAUAUUCGAAAUCACGCAAUGCAAGGCCCACAGGCAAUUAAAGGGGAAUUGCUCAUCUUUAUUAGUAUCUCCCAAAGUACAGUUGGCCCUCUGUAUCUGUGGGUUUCACAUCUGAAAUUUCCAUCCACAGGUAGGAGAUGGAUAUGGAGGGCCGGCUAUAUUCAUUGUUCUCCAUUAUUUUAUGGAAGAGACAGGCCCAUUCAUGGAUUUGGAUUCACCUGGAGCCACCCCCAGGCAUACUGAGAGACAGCCGUACAUUAAAAGGGACUCGGGUGUUGCUGUUGUGGCUCAGCCUGUUGAAAACCCGACUAGUAUCCAUAAGGAUGCAGGUUCGAUCCCUGGCCUCACUCAGUGGGUUAAGGAUUCAGUGUUGUCGUGAGCUGUGGUGUAGGUCGCAGAUGAGGCUUGGAUCCAGCAUUGCUGUGGCUGUAGUGUAGGCCAGUAGCUGCAGCUCCAAUUCGACCCCUAGCCUGGGAACUUCCAUAUGCCACAGCUGUGGCCCUAAAAAGAAAAAAAAAAGUGAUUCAGUUCAUAGGUCACCAUAGUAUAUGUCAGAAGCACCUCCUCUCUGCUCUCAGAGAUGCUAUUUGGAGAUACUCCAAACCCCAGAUGCUUCCUCAAGCCUCAGCCCCUGGUAAAGGGUGUAGACCUUUCUCCUCCUACCUCCCUACUUGCUCCUUCUAUUGAUUGACCUCAUCCCUUUACCUCCCCACCCCCAACCCCUUCCACCUACCCCCUCUUCCCACAUCACAAAAGAUCCUGGACUGGGGCUGAUUAAAAGCUCUCCUUUACUGGAGGAAUGCUGGGCAGGGGCAGGCGGCAUAGAGGAUGACUAUCGUCUUUCCGGCUCCCUCUUUCAGAAACUGAAAAUUCUGUUUCUUUUCUGACUGUAGGUCACUGUCAUGGAACUGUUGACUAGGAUACGUAACUCAGGUUAGGUCAACCAGAUUCUCCCUGCUACCUCUCCCGGCAGCAGUGCCCCAGUGAGGCUCCUGAUUGGUUCCUGCCUUCCCCACCCCCUUGCUACCCAGACCUCUGCCACUGUCCAAGCCCAAUUCUUCAAUUUUCUCUACACCCUGCGAGCUGUCAAAAAUCUUUCCAACAAAUGUGUCUGCGUAAUUUGUCCACGUUGAUUUCUGUUGUUUGCAACCAAAGAACACUAGGUUAAUACCAAAAACUCUCAUAUUAAUCCAUCUUGUCACCAUCUCUGUUUGUGAGAUUACAGCUGCAGACCUGGACCAAUGAACCUGAAUUUAACUGAAGUAAUUUAUGGCAACACAAGGCCAAAAAGCAGCCUCCAUCAAAUUUGCUUUCUGGAGUUCCCCUUGUGGCUCAGAGGGUUAAGAGCCCAACAUAGUGCCCACGAGGAUGUGGGUUCAAACCCUGGCCUCGCUCAGUGUGUUAAGGAUCCCUUGUUGCUGUGGCUGUGGCAGAGGCCAGCAGCUGCAGCUCCAAUGUGACCUCUAGCCCUGGAACUUCCAUAUGCCACAGGUGCGGCUGUAAAAAAACUUUUUUUAAAAUUUGCUUUCUACUACCAUUUCUCAUUCUCUAACAAAAUCAUUCGGACCUACCUAAAAUUCCUGAUGAGGCAAAGAGUAAUGGUUACUCAAACAUUUUGUAAAACCUAUGUUCACUUUCUAGAGGCUAUGUUCAGUAAUAAAAAUAACAUGUACC
RNAcentral lists this long non-coding RNA (6076 nucleotides) under Sus scrofa (pig). RNAcentral's name for it is "lncRNA (ENSSSCG00060049638.1)". The record is from RNAcentral. Lineage: Eukaryota; Metazoa; Chordata; Mammalia; Artiodactyla; Suidae.